AAUAUAUGAUAUAAAGUUCUUUAAUAGAAAUCAAUUAUGAAUUAUAAGCUCAUUAUUUCAAAAUAAAAAAUAAAAAACCCUAAACGCAUUGAACUACUACACACUAUGUAGAUGGAGAUGAGGUGGACUAGAAGAUUCGUAGGCAAAGGUUGCAAUGUGUGUGGUUCACAAAGUGCUUUCAAAACCCUAAGUGUCAUUCCUCAAUCUGAUUGUGGAAUCAUUUUGCUGCAUGUUUUACAUUUGGUUACAAGUGCAAGUGCUUGGGUCUUGCCCGUCUAGUAACACCUUGUGAUUGCCUAACCACACUCACCUUGCCCACACAAGGUGACUGACGUAACCAUACAGAGUCCAUCUUGCUCUUUGCUUGUGUGCUAAACAAUUCUCCCACUCUUGUUGUUUAGAUCAGAGCUCUCAGCUAUCAUGGAAUCAAAGGAGCUUGGUUUAUUGUAUAGAAAAAAAAAAACCCUAACAUACAAAUGCUUUUUAAAUAAAAAAUUUCGCUCGUUUUCCGAACGAAUUUGAAAGCUAAUUUUCACUUCUUUCUUUCUUUUUUAUGAAUUCAUCAAAUUUUAAACUUGAAGCUGAAAAUUUGGCGAACCUUGUGACAUAGGGCUAAAGUAUAACCGGUUCUAAUGAAGGAGGAGAGUCUUCAAAAAAAUGAAAAAAUUAAAAAUGUCUUCUGAUGAAGACUUUGUUCAAAGUGGAGGUUAAGAUUGAUAUCCUGCCAUUGGAAGGUGUAAGGGAAUUAAACAAGUUUGGUCAUUGGUUGGCACAAUUAGAGGUAUAGCAUUCUUUUCUCCUAGAACAUAAGAUGGCUUUUGCUAGAUUGAGAAUGACAAAGCCUGCUUUGACUUGGUUUGAGAGUCUCUUGCAUCCCAUUGCAUUAAAGAGACAAGCUCUUAUUUUUUCUUGGGAACAAUUAAGAAGCUAAUCAAGUAACAAUUUUAUCUUCAGUGUCAUAUAGAGGAAAAUUUGAAUGGCAAUUUUUGAAGCAAGAGAUGGUUAAAAUGUACAAGAUUAUAUUAGUGAAUUCUAUAGAAGGGCCAUCAAAAUGGAAAAUGAUGUACAAUAUGAAGGAAUUCUGAUGAAAUAUAUAGGAGAUCUGCACAUCUAUCUUUAUAGGCUUGUUUCACUUUCCAAACGGUGGACGUAGAUGAGACAUGUGCUCAUGCUCAGUACUUAGAAGUAGAGGUAUGUGGUCAUGCUCACUACCUAGAAGUAGAUAAUCCUCUUGUAAGGGUAAGGGAGCCAAAGCCAAGGACUAAGAAGAAAUCAGCACUUUGUUAUGACUAUUAUGAUAAGGAUGGUCAUGAAGAAUUUUUUUUGUUGGAAGUUGCAUCUAGAAAAAAACCCUCACAAGCAAGGUAAGAAGGGUAAGAAUGCCUCCAUGCCCUCCAUGCAUGAAGAUAAUGUAGUGGUUAAAAGGGUAAGGAGAUUUAAUUCACUUAGGAAGUUGAUUCUUAAGAUUUCUUGUGCUACUAAGAAGGCUGAUUUGAUGGGUAGAGCAACAUUCUUUAAUUAAGAUACAUGUCAGUGGUUUUAAGGUUAAUGGCUUUGUUUGAUUCAUGUUUAUGAAUUAACUUAAUUGCACAAUGUUUGGUAAAUAAACUAGAUUUGAAGACUUCUCAAGCCCCUCAGUAAAAAGGUGUACAUAUGCUAGUUGAUAAGUGAUGUAAAUUGAAGUUUGUUGAUGAAAUUGUGGUAGUGAAAGAUAAGAAAUGAAGGAUUGUUGCUUAAUUAUGUAGAAUGUAAACAAUUUCACAACUAAGUACAACUAUCUUUCAAUAUGCUAUUCUUUUUGAAAAAUCUGAUUACAUUUUGAAAUAAAAGAAUAAGUUAAUCUCAAUCAUAUUUUUUCAUCAAAUAAAACUCAUAGUAGAGUUGGAAAUUGAACAAGGAACUAGAAAUGUAAAAGAUGAGAAAACAUUCUUGUUAUUGAAGAUUAGUGAACUAUGAUGGCAAGGGAACACUUAGGAAAGCUUGAAGAAAGUGCUUAGAAAGUUUGAGUAAAUUCUGAUCUGUCUAAAGAUUAGCAUUGAAGGUGGGCACUCAUUUUUUGCGGUCUUGACACUUGCGCCUAAGGGUUUGGUGCUCAUGUUUGGUAUUUUGAACUUCAUGUCCUUAGAUGUUGGCGCCUUUUGCCCCAAAUGCUUAACUUUUUGGAGUUGCUUGCUUAUUUUUGUGAGCCUUAUAGUUUAGUUUAGAUUUUUGAUCGCACUCUCCAAUAUUGAGAAAAUGUUGUGAAAAAUGAGGGGGGAAAAUAUGGUUAGAUUUAUUAGGAGACUACCUCAAUCAAUCCUUAUUUUGGCAUGUUUGAUCCUCGAUAGUAGCUUGUAAGAUAGGUAGUGAUUGUUUCCUAGUGAAUUGUGUAUUUGGUGUUGAGCAUAGAGAUUUGCACCUAUGAGAAAAUCCUUUGUAGGUAUCUAUUCUAAGGUGGAUUUUAGAGGGGAUUUUUGCAAUUUUGUGGGAGGUUUUUGGGGAACAAACCCUAGCUAUAGAAGAGUGGGAUAAUGACUUGGGGAGAGGAUAGAUUGUAGCUUCUAAAAUAAACGAAAGGAGUAGAGAUCUAUAAUGAGCUUUAACAAUGGAGGAUUGGUGAGAGCUAAUUAGAAAACUUAGUGUCAACACCUUAGGGAGAGCCCUUUUGGAAGAGUGCAAGAAAAAGAAAGCAAGAGAGAUACGGAAUUAGAGUUCCCAAAUGCCUAAAUACAAUAUUUAAGGUCAAGAUAUAUAUUAGGGUAGAAAGCUUAGUAAGGGUUUUAGGGUUUUGAAGGAGGCAGAUUUUGAAAAUUGAAUUGGACUGCAUGCAUGGGGCAUUCGUGUCCCUUGUAGACCAACAUUGGAGUUGGGUCUAGUAUCCUUUAGGAGUUGGGACCACAAACUCUAUGAAUAGGUGGGUUACAAGUUGAGGAGCCAUUGUUUGACUUGUAUGACACAUGUACUUGCUUACUUCAACUUCCAAAGGGAUUGUAAAACUUUAAUAUUUCUUGUGGGAUGUUUGUAAGUAAUUCUUGGUCUUGUACAAGCAGUGGGAGAGUUGUAGUUAGAGGUUUUUAGUAGGAACAAUUUUAAGUUUGGAAAUUGUUAUAGAAAUGGAGGCAAUGGAAGUGUAUUUUGGAGAGUUUGUGAGGUUGUAGGAGCUGUUUAUAAUGCGUCAGAGCUUUGUUUUGAAAGACCAAGGGCUGCCACCUCAUUGUAUUGCCAUUUUGAAGUACUAAGUUAGAUUGUGCUUACACCGUUGGACUUUUUUACCCAUGAGGUGUAUCUCCAAGGUAAACCUAUUUUCUUCAUGCUGUUUGUGCCUUGUUUUGCUUAACUUCUAAGUUACUGGGUUCGCCCUUGGACCCCCUUGGUACCGGUCCUGAUUCAGACAGGUCCUUGGUUAGGGUUCGGUUCGAAUUGGGUUCAACCAGGGUUUGAAAAACCUAGAGGUGGUUUGUCGCUGGUCAAACCCAGUCAAACCCAGGCAGCCCAAAAAAGCAAAAUAUAUGCAAAUAUUAAUUUUUUUUUGAAUUUCGCUUUCUAAAAAGUGAAACUUAUACCCUAAAAGUGACUUCUAAAACAUUAUAUUCACUCAUUUCACCUCAUUUGUGUUGCAAACAAAAGUUUUAUGAGAGCAAGUUGAAGAAAGGGUGAACAAAAUUUGGCUUCCAAGAUCAAAGAGGAGGAGUUGAAGACUGAUUUUUGAAGCUUCAACAAGUGUUGCAGCAUCAUUUCCAUACAUUUUUAAGCUUCCAUUGGCUGCAAGAGGUAGGUUUUUAAACAUUUUUUUCCAACUAUUUUUGUUUCACAAAUUGUCAAACAUGAAACUUGAAUUUUUUUUCAUUAUUUAGUUUUUGUUUUUGAAUAUGUUUAUAUUAUUUCUUGCCAUAGGAAUUAGAAUGGCAUCUACAUCUUCCUCCAUUGGCAACGAACAAAUAAUUACAAAACAAAGAAAUGAUCCAAAUUCUCCCUUAUGGAUGUAUGUUGACAUUAUAAAACAACUUCUAGGAGGUGCGGGAUUCCGUUGGAGAUGCCAAGGAUGUGGUAUUGAACGUAAUAGUUCAUAUUAUCGGGUGGUAGGCCAUUUGUGUGGAAUAAAAGGAAGAGGCAUCAAAAAAUGCCCUGGAAAAGAUGGUAAACCUAUACCAGAUGAGACAGUGAUGAAAUAUAUUAGGGAGCAUGAGGCGGCAAAAGAGAGAGAAGUUCGUAGAUUGAACCAAACCGCAUCAAAGAAAACAAGGGGAAUGCAAGCCCCUUCUAAUCCCAAUAUUGUAGUAGAAGACCACCCUUCUUUGCCGCAAAUGAACCUCAAAGUGAACCACCCUUGACACGUGAAAGAACAAAGGGGCCUUUAGAAACCACAUUCCAAAAUGAGAGUAGAGAAAAUGCUGACGAAGAUAUAGUAAGGUGCAUUUAUGCAAAUGGGUUGUCUUUCAAUGUUGUUCGCUCCCCAUAUUGGAAGCAAAUGAUAAAAAGUGUUAAUGAGGUUCCAAGAGGGUAUAAGGGCCCUAGUUAUGAGAAGGUAUGUGGAACAUUAUUGGAGAAAGAAGUGAAGAGGGUUGAAGAUGCAUUGAAACCCAUAAGGGAUUCAUGGGUUGAGACAGGUGUAACAAUUGUUUCAGAUGGGUGGAAAGAUGCUAAAAACCGUCCCUUGAUCAAUGUCAUAGCGGUGUCCCCUAAAGGGGCAAUGUUUUUGAAAGCUGCGGAUUGUGAGGGCCAAAUAAAAGAUGGCCAAUUUAUUGCAGAAAUUCUCAUCUUUGACAUUGAGUUAGUGGGACCCCACAAUGUUGUCCAAGUCAUAACGGACAAUGCAAAAAAUUGUAGAGCUGCUGGUUUGUUGGUUGAGCAAUGCUAUGAUCACAUCUUUUGGACACCUUGUGCGGUACAUCACUCAAUCUUAUGCUACAAAGGAUUGGGCAAAAAAUAAAAUGGAUCAGAGAUGUGUAUGCAGAGGCUGAGGACAUCCAGAUGUUCAUCACAAACCACCACAUGUGUCAAGGGAUUUUUAGAACCUAUUCGAAUUUGGAGCUAUUGAAGGUUGCUGAGACCCAUUUUGCAUCAAACACAAUCGUCUUAAGAUGACUUGUGAAAGUUAGAGUGGCACUAUGCAAUAUGGUGAUCAACACCAAUUUGACUGUAUGGAAGCAGAGUAGCACUGGGAGGGCAGAAAAAAUUAGGGAGAGUAUUGAAUGAGAAAUGGUGGGAUCUUGUUACAUAUCUCCUAAGUAUCAUUGAGCCCAUCAUGAUCAUGAUUCUCUAUACAAACAUGGAUAGGCCUUGCAUAGGUGUGAUUUAUGAUGGCAUUGACUCAAUGCUUGAAAAAAUAAAGGUCACUAUAAAUGAAAAAGAGAAUGACCCCUAGGAGAAAUUCUUCAAAGAACUGGAAACAAUUAUUGUAGAAAGGUGGAAUAAGAUGACCACUCCUUUGCAUCUUCUUGCCUAUGCCUUGACACCUAUAAGUACUAUAGCAAUCAGUUUCUUGAUAAACCAGGAAGGAUUCCACCAUGGAGAGAUCUAGAAGUAUCUGAUGGGUACAAGGCAACAUGUCUUAGACUAAAUCUUGAUGAUGAUUUGCGAGAUGUUGUUACAAAUGAGUUCAUAGAAUUUGCAAAUGGGAAUGGUCUAAGUGUUGAUGCACUUCGUCAUAGAUUCAAGAAGGAUGCUCAUAGUUGGUGGUACUUCCAUGGCACAUGCUUCCAACACCUACAACCCCUUGCUAUAAAAGUUUAAUCACAAGUUGCUAGUUCAUCUGCUUCAGAAAGAAAUUGGAGCACAUACUCUUUCAUCCACUCAGUAAAGCACAAUAGGCUGCUAUCAAAAAGAGCAGAGAAUUUAGUAUAUGUGCAUUCCAACCUACGUCUUCUUUCACACAAACAACGUGACUACACACAACGGGAAACGAAGAUGUGGGAUAUAGAGCUAGAGCAUACUGAUUUGGAUGCUCCCGCUUCUCAGCUUCUUGCAUUGACACUUGAUGACUUGGAUAUCGAGCCAACUUAUAGUGCAAGUGCAAGUGGCAUUGGCUCAUCUAAUGUCAAUGUCAAUGUCGAUGAGGAGGAGGAGGAGGAGGAGGAGGAUGAAUUAGAUGAUCCAUUUGAUGAUUAAACUUUAUAUUGUUGAAAGUUGAAACAAUGAUACUUGAAUAUUUUGUCAUUUUGAUAUUAAACUUGAUGUAUAUGAUGCUAUUAUGGUAUCAUCAUGAUGCUAUCAGCUAUGAUU
This is a long non-coding RNA of Cryptomeria japonica (Japanese cedar), 6201 nucleotides long. RefSeq lists it as uncharacterized. The record is from RefSeq and is a predicted model, not a curated record. Lineage: Eukaryota; Viridiplantae; Streptophyta; Pinopsida; Cupressales; Cupressaceae. The transcript is spliced from 3 exons.